GCCGCGGUAGCUCAGCUGGUAGAGCACCGCAUUCGUAAUGCGGGGGUCAGGGGUUCGAAUCCCUUCCGCGGCACCA
RNAcentral lists this transfer RNA (76 nucleotides) under Hyphomicrobiales bacterium. Its description in RNAcentral is "tRNA-Thr". It matches the Rfam family "tRNA". From Rfam's summary of the family: Transfer RNA (tRNA) molecules are approximately 80 nucleotides in length. Their secondary structure includes four short double-helical elements and three loops (D, anti-codon, and T loops). The record is from RNAcentral. Lineage: Bacteria; Pseudomonadati; Pseudomonadota; Alphaproteobacteria; Hyphomicrobiales. RNAcentral also lists the same sequence under 2 other names.